This 450-nucleotide ribosomal RNA is filed under the name uncultured bacterium. RNAcentral describes it as "partial 16S ribosomal RNA". It matches the Rfam family "Bacterial small subunit ribosomal RNA", at positions 354 to 796 of the family's 1533-position model. The record is from RNAcentral.
GUGGGGAAUAUUGGACAAUGGGCGAAAGCCUGAUCCAGCCAUGCCGCGUGUGUGAAGAAGGUCUUCGGAUUGUAAAGCACUUUAAGUUGGGAGGAAGGGCAGUAAGUUAAUACCUUGCUGUUUUGACGUUACCGACAGAAUAAGCACCGGCUAACUUCGUGCCAGCAGCCGCGGUAAUACGAAUGGUGCAAGCGUUAAUCGGAAUUACUGGGCGUAAAGCGCGCGUAGGUGGUUUUGUAAGUUGGAGGUGAAAUCCCCGGGCUCAACCUGGGAACUGCCUCCAAAACUGCAUGACUAGAGUACGGUAGAGGGUAGUGGAAUUUCCUGUGUAGCGGUGAAAUGCGUAGAUAUAGGAAGGAACACCAGUGGCGAAGGCGACUACCUGGACUGAUACUGACACUGAGGUGCGAAAGCGUGGGGAGCAAACAGGAUUAGAAACCCGAGUAGUCC